ACUCCCUCUCCAACCACCUUUUGACUGCCUUUAGUCUCUCCCUCUCAAGUCACCCUUGGGCAUCACUAUUUCUGUCACAAUUAGACAACCAUUGUACAUCACUUAAUUUUACACCACCAUUAAGCGUCAUCCAUCUACACACCUCCACUAAGCAUCAAACUCCCCUUAACCAUAGCCCUUCUCACUACCAUUAGUCAUCACUAGUGAUGUCGCGAACCGUUCGCGAACUUGC
This is a non-coding RNA of Pelobates cultripes (western spadefoot toad), 232 nucleotides long. The record is from the annotation of a GenBank genome assembly. Lineage: Eukaryota; Metazoa; Chordata; Amphibia; Anura; Pelobatidae.